This 467-nucleotide ribosomal RNA is filed under the name uncultured bacterium. RNAcentral describes it as "partial 16S ribosomal RNA". It matches the Rfam family "Bacterial small subunit ribosomal RNA", at positions 28 to 506 of the family's 1533-position model. The record is from RNAcentral.
GACGAACGCUGGCGGCGUGCUUAACACAUGCAAGUCGAACGGAAAGGCCCUGCUUUUGUGGGGCGCUCGAGUGGCGAACGGGUGAGUAACACGUGAGUAACCUGCCCUUGACUUUGGGAUAACUUCAGGAAACUGGGGCUAAUACCGGAUAGGAGCUCCUGCUGCAUGGUGGGGGUUGGAAAGUUUCGGCGGUUGGGGAUGGACUCGCGGCUUAUCAGCUUGUUGGUGGGGUAGUGGCUUACCAAGGCUUUGACGGGUGGCCGGCCUGAGAGGGUGACCGGCCACAUUGGGACUGAGAUACGGCCCAGACUCCUACGGGAGGCAGCAGUGGGGAAUAUUGCACAAUGGGCGGAAGCCUGAUGCAGCAACGCCGCGUGCGGGAUGACGGCCUUCGGGUUGUAAACCGCUUUCGCCUGUGACGAAGCGUGAGUGACGGUAAUGGGUAAAGAAGCACCGGCUAACUACGU